AUUGAACGCUGGCGGCAGGCCUAACACAUGCAAGUCGAGCGGAUGAAGGGAGCUUGCUCCUGGAUUCAGCGGCGGACGGGUGAGUAAUGCCUAGGAAUCUGCCUGGUAGUGGGGGAUAACGUCCGGAAACGGGCGCUAAUACCGCAUACGUCCUGAGGGAGAAAGUGGGGGAUCUUCGGACCUCACGCUAUCAGAUGAGCCUAGGUCGGAUUAGCUAGUUGGUGGGGUAAAGGCCUACCAAGGCGACGAUCCGUAACUGGUCUGAGAGGAUGAUCAGUCACACUGGAAGUGGGACACGGUCCAGACUCCUACGGGAGGCAGCAGUGGGGAAUAUUGGACAAUGGGCGAAAGCCUGAUCCAGCCAUGCCGCGUGUGUGAAGAAGGUCUUCGGAUUGUAAAGCACUUUAAGUUGGGAGGAAGGGCAGUAAGUUAAUACCUUGCUGUUUUGACGUUACCAACAGAAUAAGCACCGGCUAACUUCGUG
This 484-nucleotide ribosomal RNA is filed under the name uncultured bacterium. RNAcentral's name for it is "partial 16S ribosomal RNA". It matches the Rfam family "Bacterial small subunit ribosomal RNA", at positions 30 to 507 of the family's 1533-position model. The record is from RNAcentral.